This is a long non-coding RNA of Mirounga angustirostris (Northern elephant seal), 2571 nucleotides long. RefSeq lists it as uncharacterized. The transcript is spliced from 3 exons. Lineage: Eukaryota; Metazoa; Chordata; Mammalia; Carnivora; Phocidae. The record is from RefSeq and is a predicted model, not a curated record.
AUGGUGGCGGCGGCGGCGGCAGCUGCUCCCCCAGGAGGGAGGGGACUAGCGGCUCCGCGGCCGCUGCCGCCGCCGCCACGGCACACGCCCUCCCCCGGUUCUGCUCCCCGGGGUUCUACUCCGCGCCCCGGCCGCGGACAUGUUCCCAGGGGCUGCGGACUGGGGGUGCGGGCCGGCGGGUCGCAACCUUUCGGUGUGUGUCGGGCCCGGGCGGCCCCCCUCCGCCGGCCUCCUUCCCGCUGCCCGCGGGGUUUGCGCCCCCCACCCCCGCGCCUCGGCACCUAGCGCUCGCCCGCCAGGGGGCGAGGCCAAGCUCUGGAUUCUCAAAACAGAAGGUGUCUGGAUCAGAAUAUUGAGAAGUUCUGAGUGUGAGAGAGCACAGUUUGGAAGUGCAGGAAGGAUCUGAGUGGCAGGAAUGCUUAGGCCCACAGGCCCUCAAACAGUAACAAGCUGUACCAGAAUCUCCGUGAUAUCCAAAGAGACAGCUCCUAAAAGACUACUAAAUAUAACUCUCUUCCACACAGGCUGGUGCCUGCUGCCUCAACUUUUACAAGCAUAGUUGUGGAAUAUCUAGGAAACUUGAAGUUGACAGACAGGUUUAAGCCGAACGAGGGCAGCCCACUAGAGAGCUUGGCUUUCGGUAUUUUCUAGUCUGUUCUUUCUGUUGAGCCACACGGAGCUGAUGGACCUUCAGUUGGGAGGAUGACAAACCAAAGAACUGACUCCAGUGGGAAAAAGGCAAGUAAGAAUGAGUCUGAGACAAAAGACUUGUGAAUGUAUUUGAACGUCAAAAGUUUCAAACCAAAAUCCAGCUUCCUUAAGCAACAUGAAUCACUGAUGGUCUGCUUCUUCCAAAGUGAAUUGACUUUACCUCUGUCUCUGGCAUGAUAGAAAAGUCACCCAUUUUGCUGGCCAACACACUUAAGCUUAAUUGUCAACUCUGCCACUUACCCCAAGCAAGCGAACUCACCUUCCAGAGCUUCGUGUCUUUUUGCCUGUAAAAUGGGUUAAAUACUGUUUGCAGCAUCGUAUGGAUGUAAGACAAUGUGGAUGAAAUUAUUAGAAAUAGUCCCUGCACUGACAUUGUUGUUAUCCAGUACUGCACCUGUAUGUCUAUCUUCCUCAUGACACUGACCUCCUCAAGAAAAGACACCUGCCUUUGGCCUUUCUGUCUGGUGCCUACUCCUGUAGGUGUUCAGUACAUAAAAUGAAUAAUUGAUAUAGCCAUCUUAUAGGAAAAGAAUUCUCCUGUGAGAUCAACCUUCCCAAGAGAGUCUAUCUUCUAAUUUCCUACAACCUUUUUAUUUGCUUUAGACAUAAAUUAGGAAAACAAAAUUAUUGGAUACAUUUCCAGAAAGAUAUUUUCCUAGAAUGUUUCUACUUAUACACACAUAUUAUUUAAUUAGUAAACUUAUUUUUGAGCAUUUUUAGGAUUACAGAAAAAUUGAGCAGAAAGUACAGAUUUCCCAUACGCACCCUAACGCCCUUCGUCCCUCCAUAUUAACAUCUUUUUUUUUUUAAGAUUUUAUUUAUUUAUUUAUUUGAGACAGAGGGAAUGAGAGACAGAGAGCAUGAGAGGGAGGAGGGUCAGAGGGAGAAGCAGACCCCUGCCAAGCAGGGAGCCCGAUGCGGGACUCGAUCCCGGGACUCGAUCCAGGGACUCUAGGAUCAUGACCUGAGCCGAAGGCAGUCGCUUAACCAACUGAGCCACCCAGGCGCCCUCCAUAUUAACAUCUUGCAUUAACGUGAUGCAUUUGUUAGAAUUGGUAAGCCAAUAUUGAUACAUUAUUAUGAACUAAACCCAUAGUUUACAUUUAAAUUAAUUCUUUGUAUUAUACAUUCUGUAAGUUUUGACAAAUGUAUAAUAACUUGUAUCCACCAUUACAUUAUCAUUCAGAAUAGUUUUACUGCUCUAAAAAUCCCCUGUGCUCCACCCAUUCCUCCCUCUCCCCUCCCAACUCCUGGCAACCAUUGAUCCUUUUAUUAUCUCCAUAGUUUUGCCUUUUCUAGAGUGUCAUGUUGCUAGAGUCAUAGGAUAUGUAGCCUUUUUAGAUUGGCUUCUUUCCAUUCGUGAUAUGCAUUAAAGAUUCAUCCAUAUCUUUUCCUGGCCUGAUAGCUCAUUUCUUUUCAUCACUGAAUUCUAUUCCAUUGUAUGGAUGUACCACAGUUUAUUCACCCACUGAAGGACAUCUUGGUGGCUUCCAAGUUUUGUCAAUUAUGGAUAAAGUUGCUGUAAACAUUCACGUGCAGGUUUUGUGUGGAUGUAAGUUUUCAACUCAUUUGGGUAAAUACCUAGGAGUGUAAUUGCUCUAUUGUAGAGUAAACAUAUGUUUAGUUUUUUUUGUUUUGUUUUAAUUUUGCAAGAAGCUGCUAAACUGUCUUCCAAAGUGACUGUAUCAUUUUAAUAGGUGUGUAGUGAUAGUUCAUUGUUUUCAUUUGCGAUUCUCUAAUGACAUACAAUAUUAAACAUCAUUUCCUAUGCUUAUUUGCCAUCUGUAUAUUUUCUUUGGUGAAGUGUCUGUUCAGAUCUUAUGCCCAUUUUUAAAUCCAGUUGUUUGUUUUUUUAUUGUG